This 58-nucleotide transfer RNA is filed under the name Felis catus (domestic cat). It matches the Rfam family "tRNA", at positions 8 to 63 of the family's 71-position model. From Rfam's summary of the family: Transfer RNA (tRNA) molecules are approximately 80 nucleotides in length. Their secondary structure includes four short double-helical elements and three loops (D, anti-codon, and T loops). Further hydrogen bonds mediate the characteristic L-shaped molecular structure. tRNAs have two regions of fundamental functional importance: the anti-codon, which is responsible for specific mRNA codon recognition, and the 3' end, to which the tRNAs corresponding amino acid is attached (by aminoacyl-tRNA synthetases). tRNAs cope with the degeneracy of the genetic code in two manners: having more than one tRNA (with a specific anti-codon) for a particular amino acid; and 'wobble' base-pairing, i.e. permitting non-standard base-pairing at the 3rd anti-codon position. The record is from Rfam by way of RNAcentral. Lineage: Eukaryota; Metazoa; Chordata; Mammalia; Carnivora; Felidae. RNAcentral also lists the same sequence under 2 other names.
UGGCUCAGUCAGUAGAGCAUGUGACUGUUGAUCUCAGGGUUGUGAGUUCAAGCCCCAC